AAUUUGUUGAAUGAAAUCAAAUCUUUAAAUACUAAUGGGUGCCGUAGGAGGUCGACCGGAAUUUUUUGCUCGGAUUUCUUGGCAUGUAACAGAUAGAAAACUCAGGAUUAGAAUUCAUAGAACAAAAAAGGGGCAGUGGCAAAUAUUUCAUGUAUAUUUUGAAAACAGAGAUUUACCCCCACACCCUUUGCCAUAAAACUUUCUUUUUCUUAUUUGUGCCUUCGGACUUAGGCUAUUUCUUUCUUUGCG
RNAcentral lists this long non-coding RNA (249 nucleotides) under Mytilus galloprovincialis (Mediterranean mussel). Lineage: Eukaryota; Metazoa; Mollusca; Bivalvia; Mytilida; Mytilidae. The record is from RNAcentral.